UAGAGUAGCUGUGUCCUUCGGGACAAGGAGACAGGUGGUGCAUGGUUGUCGUCAGCUCGUGUCGUGAGAUGUUGGGUUAAGUCCCGCAACGAGCGCAACCCCUGUGGUUAGUUGCCAGCAAGUAGCGUUGGGCACUCUAGCCAGACUGCCGGUGAUAAAUCGGAGGGAAGGUGGGGACGACGUCAAAUCAUCAUGCCCUUUAUGUCCUGGGCUACACACGUACUACAAUGGCCGUUACAACGGGAAGCGAAGGAGCAAUCCGGAGCAAAUCCCUUAAAGGCGGUCCCAGUUCAGAUUGUGGGCUGAAACUCGCCCACAUGAAGGCGGAAUUGCUAGUAAUUGCAGAUCAGCAUGCUGCAGUGAAUACGUUCCCGGGCCUU
This 380-nucleotide ribosomal RNA is filed under the name uncultured Paenibacillus sp. RNAcentral describes it as "bacterial SSU rRNA". It matches the Rfam family "Bacterial small subunit ribosomal RNA", at positions 1003 to 1382 of the family's 1533-position model. The record is from RNAcentral. Lineage: Bacteria; Bacillati; Bacillota; Bacilli; Caryophanales; Paenibacillaceae.